CCUACGGGUGGCAGCAGUGGGGGAUAUUGCACAAUGGGGGAAACCCUGAUGCAGCGAUGCCGCGUGAAUGAAGACGGCCUUCGGGUUGUAAAGUUCUAUCACAGGGGACGAAAAUGACGGUACCUUGCAAGAAAGCUCCGGCUAACUACGUGCCAGCAGCCGCGGUAAUACGUAGGGGGCAAGCGUUGUCCGGAUUUACUGGGUGUAAAGGGAGCGUCGGCGGGAAGAAAAGUUGAAUGUGAAAUCUAGGGGCUCAACCUAGGGCUGCGUUUGAAACUGUGCUUCGUGAGUGAAGUAGAGGCAAGCGGAAGUCCUAGUGUAGCGGUGAAAUGCGUAGAUAUUAGGAGGAACACCAGUGGCGAAGGCGGCCUACUGGACUUUAACUGACGUUGAGGCUCGAAAGCGUGGGUAGCAAACAGGAUUAGAUACCCUUGUAGUC
RNAcentral lists this ribosomal RNA (439 nucleotides) under uncultured bacterium. RNAcentral describes it as "partial 16S ribosomal RNA". It matches the Rfam family "Bacterial small subunit ribosomal RNA", at positions 338 to 795 of the family's 1533-position model. The record is from RNAcentral.